Molecule: transfer RNA, 71 nt
Filed under: Camelus bactrianus (Bactrian camel)
Lineage: Eukaryota; Metazoa; Chordata; Mammalia; Artiodactyla; Camelidae
Also listed under: 2 other names
Rfam family: tRNA
About the family: Transfer RNA (tRNA) molecules are approximately 80 nucleotides in length.
Source: Rfam by way of RNAcentral
GAGAUUAUAGCUCAGAGGUAGAGUGCAUGCUUAGCAUGCAUGAGGUCCUGGGUUCAAUCCCCAGCAUCUCC